GACGAACGCUGGCGGCGUGCUUAACACAUGCAAGUCGAACGGUAAGGCCCCUUCGGGGGUACACGAGUGGCGAACGGGUGAGUAACACGUGGGUGAUCUGCCCUGCACUUCGGGAUAAGCCUGGGAAACUGGGUCUAAUACCGGAUAGGACCACGCUCUGCAUGGAGUGUGGUGGAAAGCUUUUGCGGUGUGGGAUGGGCCCGCGGCCUAUCAGCUUGUUGGUGGGGUGAUGGCCUACCAAGGCGACGACGGGUAGCCGGCCUGAGAGGGUGUCCGGCCACACUGGGACUGAGAUACGGCACAGACUCCUACGGGAGGCAGCAGUGGGGAAUAUUGCACAAUGGGCGCAAGCCUGAUGCAGCGACGCCGCGUGGGGGAUGACGGCCUUCGGGUUGUAAACCUCUUUCAGUACCGACGAAGCGAAAGUGACGGUAGGUACAGAAGAAGCACCGGCCAACUACGUG
This 464-nucleotide ribosomal RNA is filed under the name uncultured bacterium. Its description in RNAcentral is "partial 16S ribosomal RNA". It matches the Rfam family "Bacterial small subunit ribosomal RNA", at positions 28 to 507 of the family's 1533-position model. The record is from RNAcentral.